AUGUACUUGACCACAAAGAAAGUUGCGCACUACUUCUCAGAUCAUUCAAUUACAGUCGUCAGCGACGCUCCAUUGUCAGAAAUUUUGAACAACAGAGAUGCAACUGGUCGAGUGGCCAAAUGGGCGAUUGAACUCUUUCUAUUGGAUAUUAAGUUUGAAGCAAAGAAAGCAAUCAAAUCCCAAGCAAUAGCAGAUUUUCUCGUCGAGUGGAUUGAACAGGAGCUGCCGACUCAGAUUCAGUCAAAACAUUGGACUAUGUUCUUUGACGGGUCCAAGAUGUUGAAUGGUUCAGGUGCUGGGGUAGUCCUGGUGUCUCCGCGAGGCGACAAGCUCAGCUAUGUUCUCCAGAUUCACUUUGACUCCUCCAACAAUGAAGCUGAAUAUGAGGCACUUCUGUACGAGUUGCGUAUGGCCAUUUCACUCGGCGUCCGGCGCCUUAUGGUUUAUGGCGACUCGGAUUUGGUGGUCAAUCAAGUGAUGAAGGAAUGGGACGUGAGGAGUCCAGCUAUGACUAGUUAUUGCAAUGCAGUGAGGAAAUUGGAAAAGAAGUUUGAGGGGUUAGAGCUUCACCAUAAACCCCGAUUGAAGAACUAG
RNAcentral lists this ribosomal RNA (594 nucleotides) under Triticum aestivum (bread wheat). RNAcentral describes it as "partial small subunit ribosomal RNA". Lineage: Eukaryota; Viridiplantae; Streptophyta; Magnoliopsida; Poales; Poaceae. The record is from RNAcentral.